This 507-nucleotide long non-coding RNA is filed under the name Marmota monax (woodchuck). Lineage: Eukaryota; Metazoa; Chordata; Mammalia; Rodentia; Sciuridae. The record is from RNAcentral.
CUGGGCAGGCGGCGGGCGGUGCUCGGAGCGGGCUCCGCGGCUUGCACGGCGCCUGCGGCUUGGUCCGGCUCGGCGGGCGGCGCACGGCGGGCUCGACGCUGGGGCCCCGGCGCGCCCGGCAGCGCAGCACGCAGCGCACGGACCCACGCCGCGGCCGGGCGCCCGGAGCGGCGCGGCCACUGCCCGGGGCCGGCCCUCGGCCCCGGCGCUCAGAGCGCGGCGGCUGCCUGGGCUUUAAUGGCUGCUCGGCGGGGCAGCGUCUAGGAGUGGAAGCGGCUGCGGCGCAGGAAGGCGCCCGAUCGAGCCUCCUCCGGGGCUGGCCGCGCCUGACGCGGCGCGCUCCAUGGGGGCGCGCUCCCCCCGGACGGCCCGCUGACCGGGACGCGGGGGCCCGCUCGCUCGCCGGCUGCGCGUCCCGGCCAUGAACUGAGCCUACGGGCCGACCCCGCGCCUGCUCUGCUUGCGCCUUUCUUCUCGUGCCUCCUCCGCCCGCCGCCGGCGGGCCGG